RNAcentral lists this Y RNA (98 nucleotides) under Microcebus murinus (gray mouse lemur). Its description in RNAcentral is "Y RNA (ENSMICG00000042801.1)". It matches the Rfam family "Y RNA". Rfam says of the family: Y RNAs are components of the Ro ribonucleoprotein particle (Ro RNP), in association with Ro60 and La proteins. The Y RNAs and Ro60 and La proteins are well conserved, but the function of the Ro RNP is not known. In humans the RNA component can be one of four small RNAs -- hY1, hY3, hY4 and hY5. The record is from Rfam by way of RNAcentral. Lineage: Eukaryota; Metazoa; Chordata; Mammalia; Primates; Cheirogaleidae.
GACUGGCUCAAUAGUAGUGGGUUAUCAGAACCUAUUAACAUUAGUGUAACUAAAAGUUGGUUACAACCCCCACCCACUGCUAAAUUUGACUGGCUAAA